Molecule: ribosomal RNA, 520 nt
Filed under: Aurantimonas sp. AU6
Lineage: Bacteria; Pseudomonadati; Pseudomonadota; Alphaproteobacteria; Hyphomicrobiales; Aurantimonadaceae
Also listed under: 6 other names
Description: bacterial SSU rRNA
Rfam family: Bacterial small subunit ribosomal RNA
Source: RNAcentral
GGGAAUCUACCUUGAACUACGGGAUAGCUCCGGGAAACUGGAAUUAAUACCGUAUGUGCCCUGAGGGGGAAAGGUUUACCGGUUCAGGAUGAGCCCGCGUCCGAUUAGCUAGUUGGUGGGGUAAAGGCCUACCAAGGCGACGAUCGGUAGCUGGUCUAAGAGGAUGAUCAGCCACAUUGGGACUGAGACACGGCCCAAACUCCUACGGGAGGCAGCAGUGGGGAAUAUUGGACAAUGGGCGCAAGCCUGAUCCAGCCAUGCCGCGUGAGUGAUGAAGGUCUUAGGAUUGUAAAGCUCUUUCACCGGGGACGAUAAUGACGGUACCCGGAGAAGAAGCCCCGGCUAACUUCGUGCCAGCAGCCGCGGUAAUACGAAGGGGGCUAGCGUUGUUCGGAAUUACUGGGCGUAAAGCGCACGUAGGCGGAUAUUUAAGUCAGGGGUGAAAUCCCGGGGCUCAACCCCGGAACGGCCUUUGAUACUGGGUAUCUUGAGUGUGGUAGAGGUGAGUGGAAUUGCGAGU